UGUAGUGUAGUGUAGUGGUUUGAGUGUUGGACUGUAACCCCGAGGACUAGGGUUCAGUUCCCUGCUUAACCA
Molecule: non-coding RNA, 72 nt
Organism: Phrynosoma platyrhinos (Desert horned lizard)
Lineage: Eukaryota; Metazoa; Chordata; Lepidosauria; Squamata; Phrynosomatidae
Source: the annotation of a GenBank genome assembly